RNAcentral lists this ribosomal RNA (254 nucleotides) under uncultured bacterium. RNAcentral's name for it is "partial 16S ribosomal RNA". It matches the Rfam family "Bacterial small subunit ribosomal RNA", at positions 524 to 777 of the family's 1533-position model. The record is from RNAcentral.
UACGAAGGGGCUAGCGUUGUUCGGAAUUACUGGGCGUAAAGCGCGCGCAGGCGGUUCUUUAAGUCAGGGUGAAAGCCCAGAGCUCAACUCUGGAAUUGCCUUUGAAACUAGAGAACUUGAGUACGGGAGAGGUGAGUGGAAUUCCGAGUGUAGAGGUGAAAUUCGUAGAUAUUCGGAAAGAACACCAGUGGCGAAGGCGGCUCACUGGCCCCGUUACUGACGCUCAGGCGCGACAGCGUGGGGAGCAAACGAGG